Molecule: long non-coding RNA, 353 nt
Organism: Panicum virgatum (switchgrass)
Lineage: Eukaryota; Viridiplantae; Streptophyta; Magnoliopsida; Poales; Poaceae
Exons: 2
Source: RefSeq, a predicted model, not a curated record
ACAGAACUAGACAUGCUAUGCGGCACGCACUAUAUGGUCAAGCAAUGAAGCACGAUGAAGGGAAUGGAUCAGAUGUACCAAGGAACCAACAGUUAGAACAGAUCAGUUGAGGAUCCGAUGCAUCCAGUAACAAGCAGUUAGAAGAGAUAGGAAAUUUGAAGAAGGCAACAGAGGAGGCUGAUGGUUUUGGUCUAUCUAUAACUCCUGUUCUUUACCAUGAUUAAAUGGCUGUAAUCUCUUAUUUGGGUGUAAUUUGUACCUUACAUGUUCAGGAUGAUGUGUUGUAAAUGUUUUGAUGGUGAUUAAAAAUGGUUUGUGCCAAUGAAAAUAGGCCUGCAAAAAGUUAUGUUUUA